CGAACAGACGAGGAGCUUGCUCCUCUGACGUUAGCGGCGGACGGGUGAGUAACACGUGGAUAACCUACCUAUAAGACUGGGAUAACUUCGGGAAACCGGAGCUAAUACCGGAUAAUAUAUUGAACCGCAUGGUUCAAUAGUGAAAGACGGUUUUGCUGUCACUUAUAGAUGGAUCCGCGCCGCAUUAGCUAGUUGGUAAGGUAACGGCUUACCAAGGCAACGAUGCGUAGCCGACCUGAGAGGGUGAUCGGCCACACUGGAACUGAGACACGGUCCAGACUCCUACGGGAGGCAGCAGUAGGGAAUCUUCCGCAAUGGGCGAAAGCCUGACGGAGCAACGCCGCGUGAGUGAUGAAGGUCUUCGGAUCGUAAAACUCUGUUAUUAGGGAAGAACAAAUGUGUAAGUAACUAUGCACGUCUUGACGGUACCUAAUCAGAAAGCCACGGCUAACUACGUGCCAGCAGCCGCGGUAAUACGUAGGUGGCAAGCGUUAUCCGGAAUUAUUGGGCGUAAAGCGCGCGUAGGCGGUUUUUUAAGUCUGAUGUGAAAGCCCACGGCUCAACCGUGGAGGGUCAUUGGAAACUGGAAAACUUGAGUGCAGAAGAGGAAAGUGGAAUUCCAUGUGUAGCGGUGAAAUGCGCAGAGAUAUGGAGGAACACCAGUGGCGAAGGCGACUUUCUGGUCUGUAACUGACGCUGAUGUGCGAAAGCGUGGGGAUCAAACAGGAUUAGAUACCCUGGUAGUCCACGCCGUAAACGAUGAGUGCUAAGUGUUAGGGGGUUUCCGCCCCUUAGUGCUGCAGCUAACGCAUUAAGCACUCCGCCUGGGGAGUACGACCGCAAGGUUG
This 848-nucleotide ribosomal RNA is filed under the name uncultured Staphylococcus sp. Its description in RNAcentral is "bacterial SSU rRNA". It matches the Rfam family "Bacterial small subunit ribosomal RNA", at positions 63 to 896 of the family's 1533-position model. The record is from RNAcentral. Lineage: Bacteria; Bacillati; Bacillota; Bacilli; Caryophanales; Staphylococcaceae.